This is a long non-coding RNA of Xiphophorus hellerii (green swordtail), 144 nucleotides long. RefSeq lists it as uncharacterized. The transcript has 3 exons. The record is from RefSeq and is a predicted model, not a curated record. Lineage: Eukaryota; Metazoa; Chordata; Actinopteri; Cyprinodontiformes; Poeciliidae.
UAAAGAUCAGGUUUGUGUCGCUUCAGGCUGCAGUGUGAAGAUGGCCAAUUAUAAAAAAAGGCAUUUCCUUCUACUGAGUGCAGGAUCAAACCCGGUGUGUGUGUGUGUGUGUGUGUGUGUGUGUGCGUGUGCGUUAGCGGCCCG